UGUCCAGUAAUGCUUGAGUGAAUG
RNAcentral lists this non-coding RNA (24 nucleotides) under Mus musculus (house mouse). Lineage: Eukaryota; Metazoa; Chordata; Mammalia; Rodentia; Muridae. The record is from RNAcentral.